Long non-coding RNA from Homo sapiens (human), 1169 nucleotides. Ensembl annotates it as long intergenic non-protein coding RNA 1192. The record is from Ensembl. Lineage: Eukaryota; Metazoa; Chordata; Mammalia; Primates; Hominidae.
AAAGAGGUGGCAUCGGCGGUUCAAGACUGAGUUUUCUAUCUCUUCAGUGCCUCUUUCAACAAUGAAGAUCAAACCAGGUUUUGUGCAAAUAUCUGCUGAGUGAACUACUUAUUUGAAAAUACAUCAUUGGUUAAUAUUCCCUUUUGCUCAUUGAAAUCUCAAAGACUACAGACCCCGCACAAGACAUUCUGACAUUCCCGUCUUUGAAAUGAAUGACAGCAAUGAUAAAUAUGGCUCACCUCCAGAGAUACAGAUCUCACAACUUCAUAUUUUUAAUAUAAAUUAUUAAUCUGAGGUGUGGUGCAAUUCCAUUAGAUGAAAGAGAUCUACACAUUCAGAAGCACAUGAUUCUUCCCCCUUCCAUGAUUCCAGUGGCCAAUAGACAAACUACAAUAAAGCCAUGCCCUGACUGGAUGUGCCUAACAUUUGUCUGGUGCUUAAAGGAGUUGGCUGCAUGCGUGGGAUGGAGAAGGAUUCAACAUUUAAUGGCAGUUAGAAUCAAAUUUUUAACUCAAGAAGGCAGAAGGAAUCCACCUAAAUAAAUGUUGGAAAGUCACCAAAAAUAGUUCUCCAAGUCAGAAGCGGUGCAAAAGCUGCCUCAGCUCUUGGUGGAUUUUCAAUUUCUCCCAGCCAUCUCUGUUUCGCUAAAGGUUUCUGAAGACAGUGGGAGUUUCCCUGCACAAGCCCUCUUCUCUUGUCUGCCACCCUGUGAGACAUGGCUUUUGCCUUCCACCAUGAUUGUGUGGCCUCCCCAACCACGUGGAACUAUAAUGAAGAUAUUAUACCAUUAUAUGCUCUUGAAUCUGUCUCAUUGUGACUUGGCGAAGAGGCAGUGAAUCUGCCAAAAAGAAGUAGAGCAGCUGUGAAGAUGCCAACACAAUUGAGUACUCUUUCUCUACAUAUUUCUAAAUAUGGCAAUUUAUUGGACACUUAUGAGCAUGGAAUGACAAUGGGGUCAAUUUAACCAUACGGCAAUGCUGAGACACCUUCAUUAUGACCUUUCCCUGGUAUAAGUUAUGUGAUAAUGAAUGCAUGUUUAGUCACACACUGUAGGUACAGAUGGGAAAAAAGAAAGCAUAAAAUAUAAAACAUGAUGUCCAGGUUUCAAAUAAGAAUUCUAAAAUGUUAUUUAAUUAAUGAAAUGAAAAUACUUUACUUUAGAAAAAGAA